This 494-nucleotide ribosomal RNA is filed under the name uncultured bacterium. Its description in RNAcentral is "partial 16S ribosomal RNA". It matches the Rfam family "Bacterial small subunit ribosomal RNA", at positions 30 to 507 of the family's 1533-position model. The record is from RNAcentral.
AUUGAACGCUGGCGGCAUGCUUUACACAUGCAAGUCGAACGGCAGCGGGGAGGAGCUUGCUUCUCUGCCGGCGAGUGGCGAACGGGUGAGUAAUACAUCGGAACGUGUCGAGAAGAGGGGGAUAACCACCCGAAAGGGUGUCUAAUACCGCAUAAAUUCUGAGGAAGAAAGCUGGGGACCUAGGAAUAGGCCUAGCGCUUUUUGAGCGGCCGAUGUCGGAUUAGCUAGUUGGUGAGGUAAAGGCUCACCAAGGCGAAGAUCUGUAGCGGGUCUGAGAGGAUGAUCCGCCACACUGGGACUGAGACACGGCCCAGACUCCUACGGGAGGCAGCAGUGGGGAAUUUUGGACAAUGGGGGCAACCCUGAUCCAGCCAUGCCGCGUGUAUGAAGAAGGCCUUAGGGUUGUAAAGUACUUUUGUUAGGGAAGAAAAGUCAGCUGUGAAUAAUGGCUGAUACUGACGGUACCUAAAGAAUAAGCACCGGCUAACUACGUG